This is a ribosomal RNA of 258 nucleotides. It matches the Rfam family "Bacterial small subunit ribosomal RNA", at positions 60 to 316 of the family's 1533-position model.
UGCAGUCGACGAUGAAGCCCAGCUUGCUGGGUGGAUUAGUGGCGAACGGGUGAGUAACACGUGAGUAACCUGCCCUUAACUCUGGGAUAAGCCUGGGAAACUGGGUCUAAUACCGGAUAGGAGCGUCCACCGCAUGGUGGGUGUUGGAAAGAUUUAUCGGUUUUGGAUGGACUCGCGGCCUAUCAGCUUGUUGGUGAGGUAAUGGCUCACCAAGGCGACGACGGGUAGCCGGCCUGAGAGGGUGACCGGCCACACUGG